RNAcentral lists this ribosomal RNA (477 nucleotides) under uncultured bacterium. Its description in RNAcentral is "bacterial SSU rRNA". It matches the Rfam family "Bacterial small subunit ribosomal RNA", at positions 501 to 981 of the family's 1533-position model. The record is from RNAcentral.
CUACGUGCCAGCAGCCGCGGUAAUACGGAAGGUCCGGGCGUUAUCCGGAUUUAUUGGGUUUAAAGGGAGCGUAGGCUGGAGAUUAAGUGUGUUGUGAAAUGUAGACGCUCAACGUCUGACUUGCAGCGCAUACUGGUUUCCUUGAGUACGCACAACGUUGGCGGAAUUCGUCGUGUAGCGGUGAAAUGCUUAGAUAUGACGAAGAACUCCGAUUGCGAAGGCAGCUGACGGGAGCGCAACUGACGCUGAAGCUCGAAGGUGCGGGUAUCGAACAGGAUUAGAUACCCUGGUAGUCCGCACAGUAAACGAUGGAUGCCCGCUGUUGGUACGUGGUAUCAGCGGCUAAGCGAAAGCAUUAAGCAUCCCACCUGGGGAGUACGCCGGCAACGGUGAAACUCAAAGGAAUUGACGGGGGCCCGCACAAGCGGAGGAACAUGUGGUUUAAUUCGAUGAUACGCGAGGAACCUUACCCGGGCU